AGAAUGAAGAAUGCUCGAGCUGAUGUACUUUUCCAACUUAUAACUACUUCAUUCAACUUGAUUGGUCGAACAUUCGUCGAAUGUCUCGAGCAACCAAACAUUGAUAAAGUCAAAUAAGUGCUACAAAUCAAUGACGAGCCAUACUGGAUGGAUCCGAUCAUCCAGUACUUGAGUGAUGGAACUCUACCUGCAGAUCUUUCAGAAGCCAAACGACUUAAAUGGAUGGCAUCACAAUAUAUGAUGAUGAAUGGACAACUUUAUAAAAAGCCAUUCUCUUUUUCUUACUGAAGUGUUUGAGACCAGC
Molecule: long non-coding RNA, 304 nt
Filed under: Elaeis guineensis (African oil palm)
Lineage: Eukaryota; Viridiplantae; Streptophyta; Magnoliopsida; Arecales; Arecaceae
Description: long non-coding RNA (EGUI_LNC004923)
Source: RNAcentral